RNAcentral lists this long non-coding RNA (1180 nucleotides) under Nicotiana tabacum (common tobacco). Its description in RNAcentral is "long non-coding RNA (NTAB_LNC010566)". The record is from RNAcentral. Lineage: Eukaryota; Viridiplantae; Streptophyta; Magnoliopsida; Solanales; Solanaceae.
UCGGUCCCCAAACUUAACAAUUUUCCAAUUGAACACUUAAACUCAUUCAAACCAUGUAUAAUAAACACUUAUGAUAGGAGGCUGUCAGUGCGUGUAAUACAAUCUCCUACACGUAGGACGCCACGUCAAGAAAAUUAAACUACUUAGGCUCCAGGUCAUUUAUUAUGGACACAUAGCAAAAUAAAAUGGGAAAUAAUUAUUAACCUCCCCCCAAAACCAAUUCUUCAUCUGUUUUUCAUCUUUCAAGCUUAACCCAGCACCUUUCAUGACUUCUCCCACGAUGAGCAAUCAUACUCUCUUUUUUUCUUCCUACAAAUCCUAUAAAACCCAUUACAAAUUGCACAAAAUGAGAUCAUAAUUUUUCCCAAGCAUAAAACUCUUCUUGGGAGCUCGAACGCAGAUAAACUUACCCCUACCUUAGAAUUUGGUGACUGUUGUUUUACUCCCUAUCUCUGUCGUUUCUCUUCUUCAUCUUCCCUUCCCCCCUGUUUUAUUUUCUCUAACUCUUUGUUAGUUUUUUACAGGUCUGGACCCAACCGAAUAAAUUAGAUAUGGCCGGAAAUAUAACUUUUCCGGGACCUUUGUUCUACCACAGUACUGGCCGGCGACUUUCGCUCUUUCUUUUAUGUUAUUAGACCCCAAAUAAACUUAGGCAAACUACCAGAUCUUGGCAAAAAAUUUGGCCGAAAUUUGAUUUCGCUUGAAUACUUGCUCUUCCUUCUAAUUAUGAUGUUUCUGUAUUACUUUGACAAUAGUUCACAUAUUUGUUCUUUGUGCAGAUCUGGGGAAUGAGAAAAAUUUCACUUUGGUUUGUAUGGAGAUAAUUAUUGUUUCUUUUGAUUUUAGUAUUUGUUUUAAUCAAACCAGUGUAUUCACCCAUUUUUAAAAAGCGUGUGACCAUUCACUUCAUCUGACAUAGCAAAAUAAAUGCCACAUACGCUUGGUUAACAGUCAGACUGGUUUAAAAUAUAAGUUUUAAUCAAGUAGAAAUGUCUGGAUGAAAACAAAUGAUGUAGAGAGACCGGCAUGACAAAGUGGCACAAGUAUAGGUGUCAUUUAGGCCAUUCUGCCUAGUUUUUGCUUGGAAAUUGAGGAUUUUCCAAUGUAAGAGACAGGAGCCAAUUUUGGCAUUUUAGUUGGAAUUUACUAGUAUUAAUGCCUAGCUUUUGCCAUAGAGUAU